CACUAAGAAGCUACUGAGGACUAAGCAUUAGCCUUUUAAGCUAACCACUGGUGGCCACCGCCCACCCUUAGUGA
This 74-nucleotide transfer RNA is filed under the name Epicrionops cf. marmoratus UMMZ 190478. RNAcentral's name for it is "tRNA-Lys". Lineage: Eukaryota; Metazoa; Chordata; Amphibia; Gymnophiona; Rhinatrematidae. The record is from RNAcentral.